GGGCCUGCACAAGCGGUGGAGCAUGUGGUUUAAUUCGAUGAUACGCGAGGAACCUUACCAGGGCUUAAAUGUAGUGGGACAGGUCUAGAGAUAGACCCUUCUUCGGACUCAUUACAAGGUGCUGCAUGGUUGUCGUCAGCUCGUGCCGUGAGGUGUCAGGUUAAGUCCUAUAACGAGCGCAACCCCUAUCGUUAGUUGCCAGCGAGUAAUGUCGGGAACUCUAACGAAACUGCCAGUGCAAACUGUGAGGAAGGUGGGGAUGACGUCAAAUCAUCACGGCCCUUACGUCCUGGGCUACACACGUGCUACAAUGGCCGGUACAGAGAGCAGCCACUUCGCAAGAAGGAGCGAAUCCUUAAAACCGGUCUCAGUUCGGAUCGGGGUCUGCAACUCGGCCCCGUG
RNAcentral lists this ribosomal RNA (402 nucleotides) under uncultured bacterium. RNAcentral's name for it is "bacterial SSU rRNA". It matches the Rfam family "Bacterial small subunit ribosomal RNA", at positions 917 to 1322 of the family's 1533-position model. The record is from RNAcentral.